Molecule: long non-coding RNA, 1128 nt
Filed under: Parus major (Great Tit)
Lineage: Eukaryota; Metazoa; Chordata; Aves; Passeriformes; Paridae
Description: lncRNA (ENSPMJG00000002937.1)
Source: RNAcentral
CUUUCCUUUAACUGUGGUUAGCAGUGAACAAAGAGUUGGAGGUAAUUGCGUUUUCCUGUCUAUCAUUCUUUCUCCCUGUUGAGUGAAGAGAAGUGUGACAGGGACAUACCUUGAGUGACAAACAUUGAUCUCUGGAGGCAGGAUGGGCAGUUCUCUGUUUCUAAUUAAUGACAUUAUUCUUUCAAGUUUUGAAAAGGACACCCUCAGCCCUGGCAAAUUGCUGCCCCUGUUAAGGCUUGGUCGACAUGUAAUUAUAUCAACACAAGAAGAGGAUGGAGUGGUUGAGUUGCGAUUUCUUUUCCAGUGGAGCUACAUUGUGCAGUUCCUCACGUGCACCCUUUGUAGACAGACUGACUGCUACAGCUUAUCCUGCUGCUCUGUGAGGGAAUAAACACUUCGGAGGCCACGUGUACAAAGUGCGUAGAUCACAGCAUGCCGCGUAUCGGGUGUCUCUGACAGCUGGCGACACACUUGCAAUGCCUGCAUGGCUCCGGUAUUUUCAAAUGCAAGAGGGAGCCCAAAGACUUCAAAGGUUUCAUGAGGUUUGCUCGUAAAUUCUCUUUUACUCCAGGUGGUGCUUCCGUGUGUUUAAAAGUUUGAAAAAAGUAAUCCUUGUUUUCAAAGUGAAUAGAUGAUCAACCCUGAAAAGCAGACACUGCCCUGACCACAUACCAAUGCUUUUUGAAGUCCUGAAGAGCAUUCUGAGGGCUACUGCCUUUUGUUUUUUUUCCUUUCCCAACAUAUAUAAUAUAGUUUCUCAUUUUAUUUUAUAUACAAUUUGUUGUGCUAUUUAUGAAGAAUUUUUUUAAUCAGAAAAUCUCUGUGAGAAGAGUUAACUGGAACGAAAGCAAGUAAACCUGACAUGAUAAAUUCUGGAAACUAUAUUCUUCCCAUACCUCUUUUUAUUGAAAACCAUGCCUGUCCUUUCUUGUAUUUCACUAUUGUAUAGUAAUGUAUUUCUUGAUAUUGCAAGUUAUUUUUCACUAUUUUCAGCUAUUGUUUUAUAUAUCUUUUAAAAAUAACAUAUCAUAGCUUCAGCAAUUUAUAUGAUGAUUUCUCUGAUGGAAGUAAAUGGAAAUCCCAGCUGAGUUUCUGUCUCCGAUAUGCUAAUUACUAGACAAAAUAAAA